RNAcentral lists this transfer RNA (86 nucleotides) under Blochmannia endosymbiont of Camponotus (Colobopsis) obliquus. Its description in RNAcentral is "tRNA-Ser (TGA) (tRNA-Ser-TGA-1-1)". It matches the Rfam family "tRNA". From Rfam's summary of the family: Transfer RNA (tRNA) molecules are approximately 80 nucleotides in length. Their secondary structure includes four short double-helical elements and three loops (D, anti-codon, and T loops). Lineage: Bacteria; Pseudomonadati; Pseudomonadota; Gammaproteobacteria; Enterobacterales; Enterobacteriaceae. The record is from Rfam by way of RNAcentral.
AGAGGAGUGGCCGAGUGGUUUAAGGCACCGGUCUUGAAAAUCGGCAAUGUGUAUAACGUUCUAGAGUUCGAAUCUCUACUCCUCUA